Molecule: long non-coding RNA, 273 nt
Organism: Cydia strobilella
Lineage: Eukaryota; Metazoa; Arthropoda; Insecta; Lepidoptera; Tortricidae
Exons: 2
Source: RefSeq, a predicted model, not a curated record
GUGGUUUACGAUUUAUGACUUAUGAAAAAAAACUACUUACUAGAUCUCGUUCAAACCAAUUUUCGGUGGAAGUUUGCAUGGUAAUGUACAUCAUAUAUAUUUUUCUGUUUCAUCUUUCUCUUAGUUUAGAAGUUACAGGGGGGGGGCACAUUUUACCACUUUUUAAGUGUCUCUUGCGCAAACUAUUCGAUUAGAAAAAAAAUUAUAUUAGAAACCUCAAUAUCAUUUUUGAAGACCUAUCCAUAGAUACCCCACACGUAUGGGUUUGACGAA